CUGGUUUGUUUGAUUGCUUCAGUAAUCAGUUAAUAAAUAAUGGUCAAAUUAAUGGUGUAUAACACAUGUAUCGAAUACUCGUAUCAAGUGUAUUUUUUCCAUUGCAAUACCCACCGUGUAAAACGCCACAUGUGAGAUGUCAGAUAUGUUUGAAACGGGACGGCUGUUUUGAAGCGUAGAAAUACGAUCAAGGUUAGUUUUUUUU
RNAcentral lists this long non-coding RNA (205 nucleotides) under Mytilus galloprovincialis (Mediterranean mussel). Lineage: Eukaryota; Metazoa; Mollusca; Bivalvia; Mytilida; Mytilidae. The record is from RNAcentral.